RNAcentral lists this ribosomal RNA (770 nucleotides) under Enterobacter cloacae. Its description in RNAcentral is "bacterial SSU rRNA". It matches the Rfam family "Bacterial small subunit ribosomal RNA", at positions 682 to 1452 of the family's 1533-position model. The record is from RNAcentral. Lineage: Bacteria; Pseudomonadati; Pseudomonadota; Gammaproteobacteria; Enterobacterales; Enterobacteriaceae.
UGAAAUGCGUAGAGAUCUGGAGGAAUACCGGUGGCGAAGGCGGCCUCCUGGACACAGACUGACGCUCAGGUGCGAAAGCGUGGCGAGCAAACAGGAUUAGAUACCCUGGUAGUCCACGCCGUAAACGAUGUCGACUUGGAGGUUGUUCCCUUGAGGCGUGGCUUCCGGAGCUAACGCGUUAAGUCGACCGCCUGGGGAGUACGGCCGCAAGGUUAAAACUCAAAUGAAUUGACGGGGGCCCGCACAAGCGGUGGAGCAUGUGGUUUAAUUCGAUGCAACGCGAAGAACCUUACCUACUCUUGACAUCCAGAGAACUUAGCAGAGAUGCUUUGGUGCCUUCGGGAACUGUGAGACAGGUGCUGCAUGGCUGUCGUCAGCUCGUGUUGUGAAAUGUUGGGUUAAGUCCCGCAACGAGCGCAACCCUUAUCCUUUGUUGCCAGCGGUUCGGCCGGGAACUCAAAGGAGACUGCCAGUGAUAAACUGGAGGAAGGUGGGGAUGACGUCAAGUCAUCAUGGCCCUUACGAGUAGGGCUACACACGUGCUACAAUGGCGCAUACAAAGAGAAGCGACCUCGCGAGAGCAAGCGGACCUCAUAAAGUGCGUCGUAGUCCGGAUUGGAGUCUGCAACUCGACUCCAUGAAGUCGGAAUCGCUAGUAAUCGUGGAUCAGAAUGCCACGGUGAAUACGUUCCCGGGCCUUGUACACACCGCCCGUCACACCAUGGGAGUGGGUUGCAAAAGAAGUAGGUAGCUUAACCUUCGGGAGGGCG